AGAGUUUGAUCAUGGCUCAGGAUGAACGCUGGCGGCAGGCCUAACACAUGCAAGUCGAACGGAUGUAGCAAUACAUUAGUGGCGCACGGGUGCGUAACGCGUGGGAACAUGCCCUUGGGUGCGGGAUAGCUACUGGAAACGGUAAUUAAUACCGCAUAAUGACUUCGGUCCAAAGAUUUAUCGCCCAAGGAUUGGCCCGCGUCUGAUUAGCUAGUUGGUGAGGUAACGGCUCACCAAGGCGACGAUCAGUAGCUGGUCUGAGAGGAUGAUCAGCCACACUGGGACUGAGACACGGCCCAGACUCCUACGGGAGGCAGCAGUGAGGAAUAUUGGACAAUGGGGGCAACCCUGAUCCAGCCAUGCCGCGUGAGUGAAGAAGGCCUUCGGGUUGUAAAGCUCUUUCAGGUGCGACGAUAAUGACGGUACCACCAGAAGAAGCCCCGGCUAAAUUCGUGCCAGCAGCCGCGGUAAUACGAAUGGGGCAAGCGUUGUUCGGAAUCACUGGGCUUAAAGCGUGCGUAGGCGGAUUUGCAAGUCAGAAGUGAAAUCCCCGGGCUCAACCCGGGAAUUGCUUUUGAAACUGCAAAUCUAGAAUCCGGGAGAGGUCAGCAGAAUUCCCAGUGUAGAGGUGAAAUUCGCAGAUAUUGGGAGGAAUACCAGUGGCGUAGGCGGCUGACUGGACCGGUUUUGACGCUGAGGUACGAAAGCGUGGGUAGCAAACAGGAUUAGAUACCCUAGUAGUCC
RNAcentral lists this ribosomal RNA (744 nucleotides) under uncultured bacterium. RNAcentral's name for it is "bacterial SSU rRNA". It matches the Rfam family "Bacterial small subunit ribosomal RNA", at positions 8 to 796 of the family's 1533-position model. The record is from RNAcentral.